RNAcentral lists this unclassified non-coding RNA (301 nucleotides) under Hevea brasiliensis (rubber tree). Lineage: Eukaryota; Viridiplantae; Streptophyta; Magnoliopsida; Malpighiales; Euphorbiaceae. The record is from RNAcentral.
AAAAAAAAAAAAAAAAAACAACAACACUCAUGAUGCAAAGGAGAUGGCACCAUAAUUGAGAACAAGCUUUAUUUGCAGUAAAAGGGGGAAAAAUGGAGAGAGAGAGAGAGUAACACCCAAUGGCAGGAGAGAGAAAGAGAAAGAAGGGUUAAGUGCAUGGAGAAGAGAGACAAGACAAGGUACAGGUUUAAAUCCAAACUGUCAAAGUUACGUCAUCACUUUACCCGAGAAUCAGCAACUAUAGUAAGAAGUAUUUUUAUGUUAGUAAACUUGAAGUUGGGGUACUUUAGUGUUACAAAAG